CAAACUUGAUGGUGUUUAUGACGUCGAAUAUCGACGUCAUAAACAUGAAACUUGAUGGUGUUUAUGACGUCGAAUAUCGACGUCAUAAACACCAAAC
Non-coding RNA from Paramuricea clavata, 97 nucleotides. The record is from the annotation of a GenBank genome assembly. Lineage: Eukaryota; Metazoa; Cnidaria; Anthozoa; Malacalcyonacea; Plexauridae.